AUCGUUAUGGAGUACUGUGGGGCUGGUUCUGUAUCUGAUAUCAUUCGAUUACGAAAUAAAACGUAACAGAAGAUGAAAUAGCUACAAUAUUACAAUCAACUCUUAAGGGACUUGAAUACCUUCAUUUUAUGAGAAAAAUACACCGAGAUAUCAAGGCAGGAAAUAUUUUGCUAAAUACAGAAGGACAUGCAAAACUUGCAGAUUUUGGGGUAGCAGGUCAACUUACAAUACCAUGGCCAAGCGGAAUACAGUGAUAGGAACACCAUUUUGGAUGGCUCCAGAAGUGAUUCAGGAAAUU
RNAcentral lists this long non-coding RNA (298 nucleotides) under Homo sapiens (human). RNAcentral describes it as "long non-coding RNA NONHSAT079930.2". The record is from RNAcentral. Lineage: Eukaryota; Metazoa; Chordata; Mammalia; Primates; Hominidae.